RNA transcript from Scleropages formosus (Asian bonytongue), 2354 nucleotides. It is a transcript of the gene named T-cell differentiation antigen CD6, with no coding region annotated. The transcript is spliced from 14 exons. The record is from RefSeq and is a predicted model, not a curated record. NCBI's taxonomy places the organism in Eukaryota, Metazoa, Chordata, Actinopteri, Osteoglossiformes, Osteoglossidae.
GCGCUCACGUGACCUGCCGUGCCGCCGCCACUCGGAAACCACAUGUUGCAAGCGCACAAACAAACAGGUGGCGGGGCUGCGAGCACGACACACGUUGCCGACGACGCGCGCAUGAAGACCUCGUGCCCUUUGUGCCUGUGAGAGGUGAGCGGCCCGCGAGCCGCCGGUGCCCUCGAGAUGAGGUGGAGUGGCAGACUGGCCGGGGCACUCGCGUUGCUUCACAUCCUGCUCCUCUCCCAAGCACUGGUUCGAACGGCACUCGUCGAGGGAGAGGUCCCCCCGACCCCAGGAGACAACAGUACAGAACCAAUAAAUCAAACUGGACCUUACACCCCCUGGCUAUCCAAUAACUGCUCGGGCACCGUGGAGGUGCUGCUGGGCAGCGAUCGCGUCCCGGUGGAGCUCGACCCCGAGUCCCGGGAGGUUGUGGCGCGGCACACAUGCGAGCGCCUUGGCUGUGGAGAUGCGCACGAAUCCGUCCAACGGGCCGCCGUGCCCAACAGCACCUGUGUGGCGGGUUGUGUCUACAGCGGCACUCAGCUGGACGAGUGCACGGUGCGCCCGUGCUCCAGCAUGAGCCACGUUACGUGCCGGCGCCGUGACGUUCGACUGGUAGGAGGCAACGGCCGCUGCGCCGGACGGGUGGAGGUGUGGGACGGCUGGCAGUGGGAGACGCUGUGCGACGACAUGUGGGACCUGAAGGGCGCCACCGUGGUCUGCGCGCAACUGGGGUGUGGCUUGGCCUUCGCUGCCCCGGGGGAAGGCGGCGCCUUCGGCCCCGGAGUCGGCAACAUCCUCCUGGUGAACUGCGGCGGCACCGAGGAGCACCUGUGGGACUGCCCCUCCAGGAGCCACAACGGCAGCUGUGGACACAAAGAGGACGCGGGAGUCGUGUGCUCAGGUACAUCUGUGACGCCCGCUCUUCCUGCCAACGACACAAGUGCCCCCGUCUCUACCUGGAGCACAGCUGUGACAACCAUGGUGGCCCUCAAGGACACGUCCCCACCGCUGUCCCCCGCUGCUGUCGGCUGCAUCAUCCUGACUCUCAUCCUUCUGAUGGUCCCUGUGGUGAACGUUCUCAUCUGCUGGCUCUACCGGAAGCGACAUGGUGUUGCAUUCGAGGAGCGCGACCCCGGCCUGCGGACGCUGAGGCUGAACGGGGACGACGAGCGGCGCCGCUCGGGUGACCUGCUUACCGUGUCCAGCGACGGCGCGGGGAACGGAGUGCCGUCGCAGCCCCGGCAGCUACCGACCCAGGACAGCGUGGACCGGUCCUCGUGCGGCUCGGACUACGAGGAGUACGACUUCAGCGUGGAGCCCUCCGUCGCCUUGGCGGCCUAUAAGAACUCUGUGCGCGACAAGGAGGAGGAGGAGGAGAAGAGCAAGGUGAUGAAGGUCCCGGCCCUGUUGAGCCUGCGGGAAGAGUGGGCGGAGCCUGGAGGAGGCGUCGUUCCCAGCAGCUCCUCAUACCCGCAGCGCCACCAGCAGGCGGACGCGGACAGUUCCAGCACAUCCUCUGGAGAGGACUACAUCAACGACGCGGCACCUGCGGCCCUGGCGAGCGGCGAGUGCGGGGAAGACGCCGACGAGAGACGUGACCUCGGCCGACCGGAUCCGCGCGACUCUUCCAGCACGUCGUCCGGAGAAGAGUACGAGAAUACGGGACAUGCAGCGGAGGACCUGCUGGUGCCAGCAGGUGCUGCCGGCCCUUGGCUUUCCCAGGAGGUGACGCAGGCGCCCGUCCCUCAUCGCACAGGCAGCGGUAACCCAGGAGACGACCCCUGCGGUGACCACCGAGUCCCACCCCAGCCGGACCCGCCCAGCUGCGACGACUCGUCCAGCUUCUCCUCGGAAGACGACUACCAGAAUGUAGGGGUGGAACAGGAGUUUGUGCCCCCAGCGGAGGGAGGGUCCUCGAGCUCCUCCUCGAGCUGCGACUACGACACCGUCGCCGACUCGUGAUCUUCAGCACAGCACGUCACGUCACAGAUGAUCAUGAUCGAAGCGUCACAUGAGACUUUGACACUGUUUCAGCGCUAUAAACGUUGCGUGUGGUGGCAACAGGUGGCGUAGCGGUUAAGGAUACGAGGAGGAGCCCUGCUGUUGGACCUUUAACAAAUUACCAAUGGAACCCAAGAGCCCCGGUGAAACAGCCACCUGGACGGACGGGUCACACGUGUGCCUCGGGUCACAGCUCUGACGUGGCAGCGAAAUACCAGCAUGGAAGUAACUGGUUACAUAAGAAGAUGGAUAAUACCACACAUUUAAUUAUUAUUAUUUUUAAAUCUCUGCACCUUUGGUCGGAUCAUUUCGAGCGGCGGCGCACGGUGAGACUCCACUUUCCGGAAACUCCU